Molecule: ribosomal RNA, 365 nt
Filed under: uncultured eukaryote
Lineage: Eukaryota
Description: partial 18S ribosomal RNA
Rfam family: Eukaryotic small subunit ribosomal RNA
Source: RNAcentral
CAAUAGCGUAUAUUUAAGUUGUUGCAGUUAAAAAGCUCGUAGUCGGAUUUUGGCUGAGAACGAUCGGUCCGCCGUUAGGUGUGCACUGAUUGGUCUCAGCUUCCUGGUGAGGAGGUGUGCUUCACGGCCACUUAGUCACCGUGGUUACUUUGAAAAAAUUAGAGUGUUCAAAGCGGGCUUACGCUUGAAAAUAUUAGCAUGGAAUAACACCAUAGGACUCCUGUCCUAUUUCGUUGGUCACGGGACGGGAGUAAUGAUUAAGAGGAACAGUUGGGGGCAUUCGUAUUUCAUUGUCAGAGGUGAAAUUCUUGGAUUUAUGAAAGACGAACUUCUGCGAAAGCAUUUGCCAAGGAUGUUUUCAUUGA